GUGCAUGGUGGUGAAAUGGGCAAGCACUCUGGCUAGCACCCAGAGGUUCUCGGUUCGAAUCCGGGCCUCCUCA
Non-coding RNA from Schizothecium vesticola, 73 nucleotides. The record is from the annotation of a GenBank genome assembly. NCBI's taxonomy places the organism in Eukaryota, Fungi, Ascomycota, Sordariomycetes, Sordariales, Schizotheciaceae.